This 1275-nucleotide long non-coding RNA is filed under the name Triticum aestivum (bread wheat). Its description in RNAcentral is "long non-coding RNA (TAES_LNC017062)". The record is from RNAcentral. Lineage: Eukaryota; Viridiplantae; Streptophyta; Magnoliopsida; Poales; Poaceae.
AUCAUAUGAUUUCUUGAAGCGGACUAAGCUAAGAGAGGAUUACUGAUGCUUACAUGUAAUACUUUAGAAUUGAACUGCCAAUGCCCAUUUAGGAAAAUGAAUUUAAUGCCCAUUCCAAGGGUCUUUUCCCGGGAUAAUGUGCAACCAAGUGCUAUUACAAAAAGAAAGUUAGUAUUUGAUACAUAUAAGUCUCUCAGUAUAUUAACUAUGUUGUUCAUUUUACAUUUAUAUAAAUGGCCGGCAUUUUUAACCCUUAUAUUCCUGUUAGGAAAUAUAUGAUGCAGAGGAUCUCACCUAAAUAAUUAUGGAUUUAAGCUAAGCCAUAAAUAUAAUAAUGUUUGGCUCACAUCUGGUGGUAGGACUUCCUCAUAGAAGGAUAAGCAGAGAUAUGUAUUAUUUGCAUAUGUGUCUAUCAUUUGAACCCAUUUUGAGCUAUUUGGUUAAACAUAAGCAUUUGUAAUACAAUCAAAAGACAGGCACAAGAUAACUAUGAAUCUCAGACCAUGGAAAUAUUAAUCCACUAUCUAAUGUCCAACUAAUUGAAACAAUAUUAAGUGCACUACAAUCAAGUUUCAUAACACAAUUCUCUAUUUCUCACAUAAAAAAUGAAACAAUACAAAGAGCUGCCAAUGAUUUAUACUCUUUUAGGAAAAAUUACUAGCCCGUGCAGUCGCACAGGUUGUUGACUAGUCAUGCUUAAAGAUCAUGAAUCUUACCAUCUUACCUUCUCGUGCUUGAAGUGUUCUCAGUCAGGACAAGCAAGCCCAGUGACUCCCACUACGGCUCAUGGCGCUUCGACCUCCUUGCAACAAUGAUCACUCGAGGUAGUUGUCUAUGCUUGUGCAUUGUUGAUGCUUGCGUCUUGUCUUUGUGCUUCUCAACUUACAACUUGUGCAUUGUUGAUAGUAGAGCCCACAAGUGUUGAUGCUUAUAUUGUUCAUACUUCUUAGCUUCAAUUUGAACCUUAUAUGUUGAUGCUUGUUGACUCUUGUGCCUUAUCGAUCAUUUGAAAAUUAACUUUGAAAACUCAUGCGUUUGGUAAUGGACUUAUAGGUUUGCAUCGUGGAUGCCGUUGACGGUGGGCAUACAUGCUACGGUGGAGCACAUUGCAUGUUUGAGGUUCAUGCUUGGUGUGAACUUGGAACUCAUGCUUUUGUUUGUGAACCUUGUUGGAUAUGUACCUGUGUGGACUUUGGACUCAUGGUCAAUUUGUAUGGUUGUCAAGUUGUACUAAAUUGUUGUUGUGAACCUUCGUUGGUUAUAUAUUACUUGUUG